CUUUUGUCAUAUUACACUACCAAGACUUGGCAUGGUUACAUUAGACCCCCUUGUUCACGUGCAAAGUUAUAGUUUUUUGUUUGCUUCCUCCAUAACUCAAUACUAGUAAUUUUCUUCUAUAUAAUAUCAUCAAUCUUUGUACCAAAUUCUUUACCCUAUCCUAAUUGUCUCUCACCAACAACCAACAACAACAAAAAAAGAUGGAGUCUUCAAAGACCAAAAUAACAACUCUUUCUUUCAUCUUCAUACUUGUCAUUUCUUCACUAACUCCCAUUCUUGGUUGUGGUCAUUGCAAAAACCACAAGAAAAAGCCUAUUAUAGUUAGUGCACCACCACCACCAAUAGAGGAUGCUACUACUUGUCCAAUUGAUACUAUUAAGCUUGGUGCUUGUGUUGAUCUUCUUGGUGGGCUUGUUCAUAUUGGGAUUGGUAAUCCUGUUGUUAAUGGAUGUUGUACAAUUAUUCAAGGACUUGUCGAAAUUGAAGCUGCUGUUUGUCUUUGUACAACUCUUAAACUUAAGCUUUUGAAUCUUAACCUUUAUGUCCCUUUGGCACUUCAACUACUUCUUACUUGUGGCAAGACUCCACCUCCUGGCUACACUUGCUCUUUGUAGACUUUUGAGUUAAGUUACAAGUUAAGCUUUUGGAGGAUUGUAUGGACAAAUUGGACAUGAGGGGAUGUCUGAGUUUCUGAUUAGUUUUCAUUUUCCAACCAUCUCAGAAUUAGUUACUGUAUCUUUUAAGUUGGUACUAGUUUUAGUUUUGUCUUUUGUUAAUUAGUUUAUGAAAAUUAUUUUUUAAAUUUUUUUUUUUUAAGAAGUUGAAGAGAUACAUAUGCACGAAAAAUAUAUGUUAAUAUCCUUGUUAAUAUCCUUCAUCUAUGUUGUU
Capsicum annuum is the source of this 888-nucleotide RNA transcript. RefSeq lists it as uncharacterized. NCBI's taxonomy places the organism in Eukaryota, Viridiplantae, Streptophyta, Magnoliopsida, Solanales, Solanaceae. The transcript has 2 exons. The record is from RefSeq and is a predicted model, not a curated record.